Molecule: long non-coding RNA, 1182 nt
Organism: Lagopus muta (rock ptarmigan)
Lineage: Eukaryota; Metazoa; Chordata; Aves; Galliformes; Phasianidae
Exons: 3
Source: RefSeq, a predicted model, not a curated record
AGCCCUAGGCUGGGUGUUAACACCCCAAAGGGAGAUGAACUCACAGCAUGCCCUGGGUGCCUGCAUGGGAAAUACCUUUAAAUCACUCCUUUUCCUGGUGGUGUGAGAGACAAGGGAGCUGGGGCAGUAAAUCCCUUUUCCUCCUGCAUCUAAUUUUACAAAAUCUUAAAAAUAGAAGAACUUGUGUUCUCACAGAGCAUUUGAAAUUCUUCAGUCAGGGGAGAGAGAGAAAAAAAAAACACCAAAAACACCCUGGAGGAUGAUCAAAGGUGAAUGAGAAGUUUGGCCACAGAGCAGACCCCAGAGGAGAUAGCAGUUCUUUAAGGCUUUCAAGCAGCUGACAAGAAACCAUCAAGCUCUGAGAGCUCAACUACUGUGAAAAUCAACAGUCCUUCAAAAAAGAGGAUCCAUCUUGCUGGAAUGGUUCAUCUGGACUGGAGCCUACUCCUACCCAAGAUCUGAAAGACCUCAGGGAAGAUGUCAGUGGAGGCAGCCAGCAGGUUGGGGUGCCUCAGUGGUCUCAGAAGCAAACCCCAAGAAAACAUUGUCACCAUGGGCAGUAAUACCAAUGGCCAGAGGAUGGGGGUUCACCAUGGGGAGGACUGGUGCUGGAGGAAGAGGUUGAGUCGCAUUCUCUGAGGUCAAUUAUAUGGUGGAUGCUGAUGAACUAGGCAGAGAGCUUAAAAUCUAUAAGGAAUUUGUAAUGGGAAUUUAUCUUCAUACCUACACUGCUAUUGAUCAAAAUGGUAGUCAGCAGAUGUUGAGACCCUAUUGAUCAGCUUGGAUAUAUUAACGGUGAUUGUAUUCUAAAUAGAGUUCAGUGCACUAGGAGAAUUUUUUCCUUGUCUUUAUUUCUAUUUUCCUGUCACCAUGGUAAUGUAUAUGUAAACAUUUCUUAUUUAAAAAUAUCAAAUAUGAGAGCAGAUUUAAAGUAUUUUGGAAUUUAAGUGCUGGGUUCAGAAUAACAUGUGUGGUGUUCUGACAUGAGCUGAAAAUAUAUCCAAAGACUCCUUUCCAGCAUGCUGACAUAUAUAUAAUAUUAUAUAUAAUAUAUAAACAAGCCUGGCAAGGGUCUGGCUCUCAGCAGGGCUCAGUGCAGAGUCCUGAUCCAGAGGAGCAGCCACUGCCCCAGAUACUCAGUGAAUCAUCAUUCUAGCAGUGAUUUUUACCUGUAGACGUUGC